RNAcentral lists this long non-coding RNA (1275 nucleotides) under Scleropages formosus (Asian bonytongue). RNAcentral's name for it is "lncRNA (ENSSFOG00015028949.1)". The record is from RNAcentral. Lineage: Eukaryota; Metazoa; Chordata; Actinopteri; Osteoglossiformes; Osteoglossidae.
AUCAGUUGUCUAUGGUAGCAUCUUUUAUUUUUAUAUUUUGACUUAACAUAAGUUGACUGAUGUUCAUAGGACUGGAACUGAGCCUCACUUUUGUACACACAAGCAGUCUUAAUCUUGCACACUUGAGACCCACUUAAACAGAACUGUUAAAGCAAAUACCAAGUUGUAUGAAAAAGCGAAACAAUAUGGCACUGUGAAUUUUGAAGUUCAAAGCAAUAUAAUAAUGUUAUGUUCACCCGCAGAUUCCCAUCCUUUUAAGGAACCCAUAUGCAUUUGUGUUCCUGCAUUAACAGUGCAGGACUGGGAUCGACUGCUGGAACUUUCUCCGUUGUUCCAUCAGCUCAAACAGGUGGAGGAGCAGCUGAGGGACAGAGCCCGGCAGGGGGGGCUGCUGGCGGAACAUCUGCCUGAUAGGGGGUGUCCUUUUGUAGAUGUAUUGGAUGCUCAGUGGGAGUGUGAGGGGGAGCUGGUGCCACUAAGUCCGGACUCCCUGAAUCCUCGUGAGUUCUUGGUGUACCAGCAUGGGUUGUUUCUCUUGCGCACCCUCCACUCACAUGCUGAGAUUCCAGCUGUCACACUGCAAGUGGCCAGCAGCCUUCCCUUUAACAACUACCAUCACAAUGCCUUCCGCAAUUCCUUCUUCUAUCAGGAAGCAGAGAAGAACCUGUUUGUGCGUCGCCAGCGGUUAUGGUCUGAGGGAGGUUUCUCGCUGCUGCUCCUCCAUUGUGUGUCUCACAUUGCUGUGGGAAACUUGUGCACUGACAACACUGACUUUCAAAGGGUCUUCUUCCAGGUGUUGCAGCUGUGCCUCAGUGAAUACUUCCUGAUCAGACUUGGUGCCCCAUUAGAUCCUCGAGCAGAUGCACUAUGGGAUGCUGCGCAGAAUCCAGACCAGUGUACCCAGUCAGCCCUGCUCCCCUUGCUGGUGGAGAGGGUGCAGAAGCCAGCUCAUGGUCCUUUCUCCAGAGAACAGGUGCUGAAGCAGCUUCAGAGACACCGGGAGACUUCUGGCCUGUGGCAUCUGGAGAACUUGCUGAGAGAGACGAGAUCAGAAGUCAGAAAAGGGUGGCAGAAGCCUCUCUCAUAAACACUAUGGUGAGGGCCAAAACCACAGCCACCAUAUCCAUUAGCCAACAGUUUAGCUCUGUAAUAUUAACUUAUUUCAAAAGGACUGAAAAAUUGCAUGGGUUGAGCAUUUUCCAAAUACAUUCCAACAUGUAUGUAUAUAUUUCGAUACCAGUCAUUUUAAAAUAAACUGACUAACUAACUAACUCA